RNAcentral lists this ribosomal RNA (429 nucleotides) under Bacillota bacterium. RNAcentral's name for it is "Firmicutes bacterium partial 16S ribosomal RNA". It matches the Rfam family "Bacterial small subunit ribosomal RNA", at positions 355 to 776 of the family's 1533-position model. Lineage: Bacteria; Bacillati; Bacillota. The record is from RNAcentral.
UGGGGAAUUUUGGACAAUGGGCGCAAGCCUGAUCCAGCCAUGCCGCGUGCGGGAAGAAGGCCUUCGGGUUGUAAACCGCUUUUGUCAGGGAAGAAAAGGUUCUGGCUAAUACCUGGGACUCAUGACGGUACCUGAAGAAUAAGCACCGGCUAACUACGUGCCAGCAGCCGCGGUAAUACGUAGGGUGCAAGCGUUAAUCGGAAUUACUGGGCGUAAAGCGUGCGCAGGCGGUUAUGCAAGACAGAGGUGAAAUCCCCGGGCUCAACCUGGGAACUGCCUUUGUGACUGCAUGGCUAGAGUACGGUAGAGGGGGAUGGAAUUCCGCGUGUAACAGUGAAAUGCGUAGAUAUGCGGAGGAACACCGAUGGCGAAGGCAAUCCCCUGGACCUGUACUGACGCUCAUGCACGAAAGCGUGGGGAGCAAACAGG